RNAcentral lists this long non-coding RNA (254 nucleotides) under Phoenix dactylifera (date palm). Its description in RNAcentral is "long non-coding RNA (PDAC_LNC012690)". The record is from RNAcentral. Lineage: Eukaryota; Viridiplantae; Streptophyta; Magnoliopsida; Arecales; Arecaceae.
AAAGGACAUUCAAUUUUUUCAGUAGAUGUUGGUGCUUCAGUUUCUUCGUUAUCCUUUUCUUUUGUCUCGGGAGGGUCAGAAUCAGGUAUGACUUGAGUUUGUUCUGGGACUGGUCGGUCAAUAACUUUUCCACUUCGCAAAGUUAUUAUACUCUUCGCUUGUUCUUUAUGCGAAGUUGAAGAUGAUGCAUUGCUACCGCCAUAGACUUGAGGAUUAGGUUGUGGUUGAGCUGGUAGCUUACCUUUCUCUUGAGC